Molecule: ribosomal RNA, 728 nt
Filed under: uncultured endophytic bacterium
Lineage: Bacteria
Description: bacterial SSU rRNA
Rfam family: Bacterial small subunit ribosomal RNA
Source: RNAcentral
ACCCGGAUUAGAUACCCUGGUAGUCCACGCCCUAAACGAUGUCUACUAGUUGUCGGGUCUUAAUUGACUUGGUAACGCAGCUAACGCGUGAAGUAGACCGCCUGGGGAGUACGGUCGCAAGAUUAAAACUCAAAGGAAUUGACGGGGACCCGCACAAGCGGUGGAUGAUGUGGAUUAAUUCGAUGCAACGCGAAAAACCUUACCUACCCUUGACAUGUACAGAAUCCCGAAGAGAUUUGGGAGUGUUCGAAAGAAAACUGUAACACAGGUGCUGCAUGGCUGUCGUCAGCUCGUGUCGUGAGAUGUUGGGUUAAGUCCCGCAACGAGCGCAACCCUUGUCAUUAGUUGCUACGAAAGGGCACUCUAAUGAGACUGCCGGUGACAAACCGGAGGAAGGUGGGGAUGACGUCAAGUCCUCAUGGCCCUUAUGGGUAGGGCUUCACACGUCAUACAAUGGUACAUACAGAGGGCCGCCAACCCGCGAGGGGGAGCUAAUCCCAGAAAGUGUAUCGUAGUCCGGAUUGUAGUCUGCAACUCGACUACAUGAAGUUGGAAUCGCUAGUAAUCGCGGAUCAGCAUGUCGCGGUGAAUACGCUCCCGGGUCUUGUACACACCGCCCGUCACACCAUGGGAGCGGGUUUUACCAGAAGUAGGUAGCCUAACCGUAAGGAGGGCGCUUACCACGGUAGGAUUCGUGACUGGGGUGAAGUCGUAACAAGGUAACCGUA